Molecule: ribosomal RNA, 865 nt
Filed under: uncultured bacterium
Lineage: Bacteria
Description: bacterial SSU rRNA
Rfam family: Bacterial small subunit ribosomal RNA
Source: RNAcentral
CAGGCCUAACACAUGCAAGUCGAGCGGUAACAUAUCUAGCUUGCUAGAUGAUGACGAGCGGCGGACGGGUGAGUAAUACUUGGGGAUCUGCCUGAUGGCGGGGGACAACCACUGGAAACGGUGGCUAAUACCGCGUAAUACCUACGGGUUAAAGUGUGGGACCUUCGGGCCACACGCCAUCAGAUGAACCCAAGCGAGAUUAGCUAGUUGGUGGGGUAAAGGCUCACCAAGGCGACGAUCUCUAGCUGUUCUGAGAGGAUGAUCAGCCACACUGGGACUGAGACACGGCCCAGACUCCUACGGGAGGCAGCAGUGGGGAAUAUUGGACAAUGGGCGCAAGCCUGAUCCAGCCAUGCCGCGUGCGUGAAGAAGGCCUUCGGGUUGUAAAGCACUUUCAGUGGUGAGGAAGGGGUGCUAGUUAAUAGCUAGCAUCAUUGACGUUAGCCACAGAAGAAGCACCGGCUAACUCCGUGCCAGCAGCCGCGGUAAUACGGAGGGUGCGAGCGUUAAUCGGAAUUACUGGGCGUAAAGCGCACGUAGGCGGUUUGUUAAGCAAGAUGUGAAAGCCCAGGGCUCAACCUUGGAAUUGCAUUUUGAACUGGCAAGCUAGAGUUUUGAAGAGGGUGGUAGAAUUUCCAGUGUAGCGGUGAAAUGCGUAGAUAUUGGAAGGAAUACCAGUGGCGAAGGCGGCCACCCGGUCAAAAACUGACGCUGAGGAGCGAAAGCGUGGGGAGCAAACAGGAUUAGAUACCCUGGUAGUCCACGCCGUAAACGAUGUCAACUAGUUGUUCGUGUCAUUAUGACGUGAGUAACGCAGCUAACGCACUAAGUUGACCGCCUGGGGAGUCGGCCGCAAGGUUAAAAC